RNAcentral lists this ribosomal RNA (232 nucleotides) under uncultured bacterium. RNAcentral describes it as "partial 16S ribosomal RNA". It matches the Rfam family "Bacterial small subunit ribosomal RNA", at positions 104 to 334 of the family's 1533-position model. The record is from RNAcentral.
CGGGGUGGAGUAAUGUCUGGGAAACGUGCCUGAUGGAGGGGGGUAACUACUGGAAACGGUAGCUAAUACCGCAUAACGUCGCAAGACCAAAGAGGGGGACCGUUCGGGCCUCUUGCCAUCGGAUGUGCCCAGAUGGGAUUAGCUAGUAGGUGGGGUAACGGCUCACCUAGGCGACGAUCCCUAGCUGGUCUGAGAGGAUGACCAGCCACACUGGAACUGAGACAUGGUCCAG